CGGUGGAUCACUCGGCUCGUGGAUCGAUGAAGAACGCAGCAAACUGCGCGUCGAAGUGUGAACUGCAGGACACAUGAUCAUCGACGUUUCUAACGCACAUUGCGGCCCA
This 109-nucleotide ribosomal RNA is filed under the name Leucorrhinia caudalis. RNAcentral's name for it is "5.8S ribosomal RNA". It matches the Rfam family "5.8S ribosomal RNA", at positions 10 to 120 of the family's 154-position model. From Rfam's summary of the family: 5.8S ribosomal RNA (5.8S rRNA) is a component of the large subunit of the eukaryotic ribosome. It is transcribed by RNA polymerase I as part of the 45S precursor that also contains 18S and 28S rRNA. Lineage: Eukaryota; Metazoa; Arthropoda; Insecta; Odonata; Libellulidae. The record is from RNAcentral.